Molecule: transfer RNA, 74 nt
Filed under: Caudoviricetes sp.
Lineage: Duplodnaviria; Heunggongvirae; Uroviricota; Caudoviricetes
Description: tRNA-Met
Rfam family: tRNA
About the family: Transfer RNA (tRNA) molecules are approximately 80 nucleotides in length.
Source: RNAcentral
UGGAAUGUAGCUCAGUUGGAAGAGCGGAGGACGCAUAGUCCUUGACACCGCAGGUUCGAGCCCUGCCUUUCCAA